AGAUUAAACUAAAGAGUUUGAUCCUGGCUCAGAUUGAACGCUGGCGGCAUGCCUUACACAUGCAAGUCGAACGGCAGCACGGAGCUUGCUCUGGUGGCGAGUGGCGAACGGGUGAGUAAUAUAUCGGAACGUACCCUGGAGUGGGGGAUAACGUAGCGAAAGUUACGCUAAUACCGCAUACGAUCUAAGGAUGAAAGUGGGGGAUCGCAAGACCUCAUGCUCCUGGAGCGGCCGAUAUCUGAUUAGCUAGUUGGUGGGGUAAAGGCCCACCAAGGCAUCGAUCAGUAGCUGGUCUGAGAGGACGACCAGCCACACUGGAACUGAGACACGGUCCAGACUCCUACGGGAGGCAGCAGUGGGGAAUUUUGGACAAUGGGGGCAACCCUGAUCCAGCAAUGCCGCGUGAGUGAAGAAGGCCUUCGGGUUGUAAAGCUCUUUUGUCAGGGAAGAAAAGGCUGUGGCUAAUAUCUGCGGCUCAUGACGGUACCUGAAGAAUAAGCACCGGCUAACUACGUGCCAGCAGCCGCGGUAAUACGUAGGGUGCAAGCGUUAAUCGGAAUUACUGGGCGUAAAGCGUGCGCAGGCGGUUUUGUAAGUC
RNAcentral lists this ribosomal RNA (598 nucleotides) under Duganella aquatilis. RNAcentral describes it as "bacterial SSU rRNA". It matches the Rfam family "Bacterial small subunit ribosomal RNA", at positions 1 to 589 of the family's 1533-position model. Lineage: Bacteria; Pseudomonadati; Pseudomonadota; Betaproteobacteria; Burkholderiales; Oxalobacteraceae. The record is from RNAcentral.